Long non-coding RNA from Clupea harengus (Atlantic herring), 792 nucleotides. The record is from Ensembl. Lineage: Eukaryota; Metazoa; Chordata; Actinopteri; Clupeiformes; Clupeidae.
UGUGGGACAGCCACUUCUCUGUUUUGUCAAGUUGAACCCAGAGCUGAUCAUGUUCCAUCCAAGCACUCAUAAAUUGUGCAUACAUGGAGAAGCCAGAGCUCCUAUUGGACAUCUACUCUUUCACUAAAGAUUGCAACGGUACAAUUCUACAUGUGACUUGCCAAACCACCUUCAGGGACCACGGUUGGGGUCGACACAAAGAUUAUCUGCAUCACCCAGAGGCGAAUGUGGGAGAUAGGAAAAUCGUUUUUGUACCUGGGCCUUUGCAUGUCACAGAUCAUCUUGGACUGCUCAUCGCUCCCCACACUUUCUGUGCGCCAACCCUAAGCACCAUGAUCCUGAAGACCAAACAGGAUGCUCAUUCAAACCUUCCAGAUGACGGUGGAGUGGGACUGCACCUUGUUCAAUAACUUGGAGAGAAAUCCCCAGUCUCCCAUUUCAUCUGAUUUUCAACAACGUUCUGCAUGCAAACAGAUUGAAAAAUGUUUCCGUAUUUACAGACUAUGGAAUUCGUUUUGAUGGAACUGCAAAAUAGCUAUUCUACUGUUGUUCUGUAUCAUUUGUAUCUUUAACAUAUAUUGAUGUUUCCUGCUCUGAUUGGCUGUUGCAUGGUGGUUAUUGUGUGAGCAUAUAAAUGCUCAUAUAGGGGACUGAUGGAACUGGAAAUAUUGCUAUUCUGUUGUUGUAAGACAUUAACUCCUUAUGUUGUAUCUGCAACUCAUUUUGGAUGUGUACUCUGUCUGUUUCACUGAGACCUGAACAAGUGGCUUGUGAACCCUCCCCCCCCCCCCA